CGAGGGGCAGCGGGGUUGUAGCAAUACAACUGCCGGCGACCGGCGCACGGGUGAGUAACACGUAUGUAACCUGCCCUCUGCAGGGGGAUAAGCGGAAGAAAUUCCGUCUAAUACCGCGUGACGCGGCGCCGGGGCAUCCCGGUGCCGCCAAAGGGAUUACCGGUGGCGGAUGGGCAUGCGGCGCAUUAGCUAGUCGGCGGGGUAACGGCCCACCGAGGCGACGAUGCGUAGGGGUUCUGAGAGGAAGGUCCCCCACACUGGUACUGAGACACGGACCAGACUCCUACGGGAGGCAGCAGUGAGGAAUAUUGGUCAAUGGGCGCGAGCCUGAACCAGCCAAGUCGCGUGAGGGAUGACGGUCCUACGGAUUGUAAACCUCUUUUGCCGGGGAGCAAGCGUGCGUUCGUGAACGCACGUCGAGAGUACCCGGAGAAAAAGCAUCGGCUAACUCCGUGCCAGCAGCCGCGGUAAUACGGAGGAUGCGAGCGUUAUCCGGAUUUAUUGGGUUUAAAGGGUGCGUAGGCGGGAUGCCAAGUCAGCGGUAAAAAUGCGGUGCUCAACGCCGUCGAGCCGUUGAAACUGGCGUUCUUGAGUGGGCGAGAAGUAUGCGGAAUGCGUGGUGUAGCGGUGAAACGCAUAGAUAUCACGCAGAACUCCGAUUGCGAAGGCAGCAUACCGGCGCCCUACUGACGCUGAGGCACGAAAGCGUGGGUAUCGAACAGGAUUAGAUACCCUGGUAGUCCACGCAGUAAACGAUGAAUGCUAACUGUCCGGCGCGAAUGAGCGCUGGGCGGUACAGCGAAAGCGUUAAGCAUUCCACCUGGGGAGUA
This 830-nucleotide ribosomal RNA is filed under the name uncultured bacterium. RNAcentral describes it as "bacterial SSU rRNA". It matches the Rfam family "Bacterial small subunit ribosomal RNA", at positions 63 to 882 of the family's 1533-position model. The record is from RNAcentral.